GGAGGGGUGGCCGAGCGGUUUAAGGCGACAGUCUUGAAAAUUGUUGUAGGAUUAUAUCCUACCGUGAGUUCGAAUCUCACCCCCUCCG
This 88-nucleotide transfer RNA is filed under the name Nitrospirota bacterium. RNAcentral's name for it is "Nitrospirae bacterium (sediment metagenome) tRNA-Ser". It matches the Rfam family "tRNA". Rfam says of the family: Transfer RNA (tRNA) molecules are approximately 80 nucleotides in length. Their secondary structure includes four short double-helical elements and three loops (D, anti-codon, and T loops). RNAcentral also lists the same sequence under 1 other name. Lineage: Bacteria; Pseudomonadati; Nitrospirota. The record is from RNAcentral.